CUUGGAUUUUCUUUAAGAUUCUAAAUUCUACCCAUUUCUUUACUCCUUCAAUGUUUUUUUUUUCUUUUGUUACUAAUUUUUGACAUUAAUCACUUUUGGAUAUUUAUAUUUGCAUUUUUUUUUUAUUGCUUUCUAUUUGCAGUAUUGGCAUUUUGUUUUUCUAAUUUUUUUUUUGUUUUGUUUUCGUUUGUUUUCUCCUUGUCUAUAAGCAGUGUAAUGUGAUUAUAAUAAUUACACUGUUUAGAUAAAUGUAUAUAUGAAUUUCAGGUUGGGGAAAAAAAAUACAACAAAAAUUCACAAAAGCAAAAAAAAAAAAAAAAAAAAAAAAAAAAAAAAAAAAGAAAUGUUGCCAAAAGUAAUCAUAUUGUAGCCAGUUGUGUGUUCUUUCUCUUAAAAAAAAAAGAAAAGAAAAAAAAAGUUUAAUCCUAAUUAAUCUUCAUUUUGAUUGUCUGCAAUAAAUUUUUUUGCCAGAUUACUAUUGCUAUUUAAAAAAAAAAAGAAAAAGAAAAAGAAAAAACGUAAUGAAGAUCAAUUUUUUUUCUUUUGAAAUUAUAAAUUUAUUUAAAAAAAAAAACAUUUCUUGAAAUUAUUUCACCAAAUCCUUUUUUCAGAAUAUUUAAUAUAAAUUAUUAAUUUUUUUUUGAUUUUCAAUUCCUCAUCCAAAAUUCUUAACUCAGAUCAUUAGUUUUGUAGACAUAGUACUAAUAAUUUCUAUUUCUAAUGAAUUUAGAUUGAUACUAAUUAUGCGGCUGUUUUCUCGUCAGCAUUUCACACACACACUUAAACGUAUCAAAAUCGAAGCUUGAGUAAAGAAGUUAACUGUCGGUUCUUACUUUCAGUCUAGCCAUCUAUAUGCUACACUCCUAAAAUUUGUGAAACAUCUGUUGCGUAGUUGAUUGAACACACACCUUUUAAUAUUCUUUAUUCUAAAAUUGCUUGAACACAACAAUAUAUUUUUAUCUAUUUUUGUUGUAACAAAAUCUGUCUUGAAACUAUCUUCUCAUAUACUAUACAAAUAGAAUGAACUUAUGUGAGGAGUUAGAUUCAUGUAUUUAAUAUUGACAAAAUCUUCUUGAUGAUGGCCAUACGAGUGAUCGAAAAUUCUAUCUUUCUAAUUGUUUUCUUUCUAUCUAUAAACAUGCCGAGUUGUUUUCAAAGAUGUAGAAAUUAAAAAUGGCUUAAAGAUGAUAAAGUUAUAUUACAAUCAUGGUGCAUGCAACUGUACUUAUAGCUUAUGUCGUCCAAACGUAAAAUGGUUUUUGGUUGGAAAAAAUAAGAAGUACCGUUAUUUUCCGAAUAUCUCAUUCUUACGGAGAAUUAAUCAAGAAAUUAUAGAGUCAUACUGCAAUAUCUGGUGUAAGUCUUUUUUAUCCUUUUUUUUUUUAUACGCUUUUUUUUUCUGUUUCAUUCCCCUUCCCCUAGCAAGGUCAGCCCAUCUCUUUUGAGAUUGCAUUGUGAAUAUUACACUGUAGAAGAUACCAACCAUUCAAAAACACACACAGUGUUAACUUCAUUUAAGCAUUUAUUUGGUGUCAGAAUUUUCUUCACACCAUCUGCAACCUGGUCACUGACACAGUUUCACUGUGACUGUUGCAGUCUUUGCGUAUGAGUUUUUGAAUGGCUAAUAUGUGUCUUCCACACUGUAAUCAUUUUAGUUUCCACACACGAUCUCAGAUCCAAUCACUUCUUACCUCGCAAGUACACCUCCAAAAUUGUGAAUAUUAUUCCAUAAUUACUAGAAAUAUUUUACUUCUUGAAAUGUCUGUAAUCCCGAGAUUUUUCUUUCUUUCUCUUCACUUUCUCUGAUUCCAAACUGGUGGAGGGAAACGUGAAUUUUUUUUAAAUAAUUUUUUUUUUUUUUUUUUUAAGCAUUUCAUAUAGAAUUUGGUCUGAAGUCUCUUAAAAUUCCUUUUACUUUUGGACUGGCAGGAGGAAUGAAUGAAGGAGAGAAAGGCAGAAUGCUUUGUUUUUCUUUCUUUUUUUUUUUUUUUUACCCUUUCAAAAGAUAAAAUGUCACAAAAUAGCUCAUUUUCAACAAUUAAUUUAAUAGACAAGAUAUACUUGACACUGAAAACAAACUAAUUUGUUUGUUUUGUUGUUUUUUUCCUUUAAUACUAAAAGACAAUGGGGAAAAUUGAUGGCGCCAGCAGUAAGGGGUGGGAGGUGUAAUCAUAUAUUUCCUAUUCUGUUCAUAAUUAAAAUGAAUUUAAAAAAAAAA
Octopus bimaculoides (California two-spot octopus) is the source of this 2218-nucleotide long non-coding RNA. The record is from RefSeq and is a predicted model, not a curated record. Lineage: Eukaryota; Metazoa; Mollusca; Cephalopoda; Octopoda; Octopodidae.